Molecule: long non-coding RNA, 2957 nt
Filed under: Citrus x clementina
Lineage: Eukaryota; Viridiplantae; Streptophyta; Magnoliopsida; Sapindales; Rutaceae
Description: Citrus clementina (C. clementina) long non-coding RNA (CCLE_LNC005214)
Source: RNAcentral
UUACAUGCAUUUGUGCAUUCAAAAAAGUAAAAAAGUUAGUUUCUUCAAAUGUAAAGUCCAUAUACAUUAUCUGAUCAUCAAUUCAUCAUGUCAACUUUCUAUAUACUACUAUUUUAAAUAUUUUAUUUGAAAAUAGUACUAUUCUCAUUCAUUUAUUUGUUUAUUUUGUAAAAGUUAUAAAGGAAUUAAACUUUAGGUUUUGUUUUCAACAUUGUUUAGGAUCUUCUUAAUUAUUUGUUGAAAUUCAAGAAUUAAAAAUGAAAUGAAUUUUAAAAUUUUUUAUAUUUUUGUUUAGUAUUAAAGAUGCUAAAUAAAAAGAGGCAUCAUAAAAUAAAUUCACUUAAGACCACAGAUACUCUAAAGUCAGCCAUGAUGCAACUCUCCUUCUAUUUAGAGUUAAAUGUUUUUUUUUUUUUUUUUGGGCUUGGAAGAUAUAGCUCACCGCUUCUAGGCAGAAGUCGACUUCCCAACAUGAAAACUUUAGGGGAUAAUGCUCAUGUAAUGCGAUUAUCGCACAUAAAUUUUUCUAUUAAAUAACUGUAAGUUACAGUUAUAAAGUCCUUUUCAGUAUUGCGAUGUGUGGCUUGAGAGCUACUAUUAUCAUAAAAAAGGUUGUAAUUAAAAAUUAAAAAUUAAUAAUAUGAUAAAUAUAAUUUUACCAUGAAAGUUUAAAAACUACACUUAGCUGACUACAGUAUCGAACAGACUCUAAUAAGUCUGUCUCCCACAAAGCUUUUGUAUUGGUCAAUUAUAGAUUCCGUAAGUUCUCGGCGGCAAAAACUUUAAUUAUUCGGUUACAUCAUAAAUUGCAUUAAAUGCAUAAAUAGUUCAGUUGAAGGAAUGCCAGCUGACAAUGACAAUAGGUUGUUCCCAGCUAACAUCCAACACGUCAUUCAAAUUUAAUAAAUUCUUGAGUUGCUUAAAUGUCUCAUACAUUUGAAAAAUGUUAAGUUACAUUGAAUAUAAUUUAGAGACCCCCCAAACAUAUUAAUCAAAGCGAGGGAGUAGAAGGAAGCGGGCAAUAAGCAAAUCAAACGAUUUCCAAAUUCACCAAAAGGUAAAAAGAAAACAAAGCGAGUUCUCAUAAUCUUAAAUAUCACGUGUGUUGUUCUGAUGAAGAUUUGACGUUACCUGUGCAUUUGUUCCCACGUACGUACGACGACAUAAUAUGGGCAUUCAAUCCUGCUCCCUUUCUUUCACCUAACAUUUUCUCCAAAUUCAUUCAGCAAUUGUGGUGGAGAUUGGUGCGGUGAUAAACUUUUCAGUACUACUUUAUUCUAAAUAAACUUUUAUUCACAUUUCUUAAAAAUUACAUAAAUCGAAUAUAUUGAAAUAAAAAUAAAAAAUGUUUAAUACUAAAAAUAAGAAAAAUUAUUAUUCUUAUUUUCUAUUUUAUCUAAUCUAUUUCAUAUCUUUUUUAAUAUUUAUUCUAAUUUUUUUAAUUAUUUAUAGACUGACAAGAUAUUAAUAAAAUAAUAAAUACAAUUUAAAAAGAUAUUUCAAGAUAUUUGUUUUUCACAUACAUUGCAACAUAUACAUUUUUUAACUAUUUUUUCUCAUAAUAAAAAUAUAUUUUAUGUUCUCAAGAGCAAAUAUCAAGCAAAUGAUCUAUUUACUUAUCUUUUCUUUUAAAAUUUGGUGCGUGGAGAGUACUUGGUAUUAUAAAAAUAAUAAAAGUAAGCAGUAGGUAGUGAUUUGAAUAGGAAAAAACUGACAAUUUCCUAAAUACAAAUACUAAUCUAAUAACUUAUGAAUUCUCAAUUAAACAGCGGACACUGAAACUUAUUGCUUCUUCUUAACAUUACUCUUACUAUAUCAUAAUACAUAAAAAGUGAUACAUAUUGAUUUUAUGGUGUAGAAAAUUAGCGUUUGGGAGAACUCUAAUAUAAAAAAAUUAUGUAUUUCUUUUAUUUAAAAUUUGAAGGUUUCAACUAUUUUAGGCAUUAAAUUUAUGUUCAAUUGAAAAAUUUACGAGACACCAAACAAUUAGAUUAUUAGUUAUUUUCGAUAUCAAAUUUUAUUCGGAAAAAUAUCAAUUUGCACAAUAAAAAUUAACCAAACAAUAUGUUUGGGUGGUAAAAGGGCCACCAUCUACACGUGCACAUGUAUGGUCGAAAGUGCAAUCUCCUCGUGGUUAAGGGGGUGUAGGAGCAGAUGUUGUAGUGCUCACGAAUGUGAGAAUUAACAUAAAGUUACGAGGAGAUACCAAGACCCUCUCCAGAGAGUGACCAAAGGUUGACCAGAGAGUUGUUCUAGAAAAACCGGGCACGAUGCCCACACCCAAAUGGUUAUUGCAUCAACCUCUAACCGCCCGGAGAUAAGCACGUUGGACCAUUACCUAAUUUGCAUAAUCAACUAACCCACUAAGGCUCACGAAUCAAGGAUGAUGUUGCACGUUUUGCUACACACUUGACUGCCUAUAAAGCCCCUGAAAAUUGCAGAUGGAGGAAAGACAUAAGAAGUUAAGGGGAAACUCUGCCAUUUUGAAUCUAGAAUUCAUUUCUUUUGCAUAUUCUGACUAUUUUUAUUCUGUAAACAAAUUACUAAGUUACAUUGAAAAGUGGCUCAAGUUUUUUUUUUUUAGAAAACCUGAAAACUGACUUAAGCAUUGGAGGGUUUUCGCCGGAAAACCAUCGGCACUUUCUGACUCUUUUUUUGUGAUUGUAGGUGUAAAGAGUAUGAAGGUUGAUGAAAUCGUUAAAUUCUGCUCGAUUGGAGUAAUUGCAAGCAGCUUUACUCCCCAUUAAAAACAAAUUUAGGUGUUGACAAGACAACCUAAUCAUCUCUACACGUACGACCAGAUUUCUGCAUCAACACAAUAUUUUUGUUUUCAGUUUAAUAUAAUUUAAAACAUUUAUUAAUGUGUUCAUAUUUGAAUUUACUGGGUUUAGUUAAAAAAAAUUAUUAUUAUAUUAUUUUUCUUGAAAGUGAACAUCAAAUAUUUAGAUGAGUUCAUA